GCAGGAAAACUUAUAUCCGUUUCACCUAAUUUCUUCCAGCAUGUCACCUGUGCAACUAGAGGCAAACAACUCUAGAUCACUUACACACACAGAAAUGCUGUGACGUCUACUCCCGCUCCUCCCCUCCGACGUCGCCAGUAUACUAACCACUGUUCCUGGCAUCCUUCAAUACGCACACCUGGCACCAAUCAUUACGUGCACCUGCACUUCAUCAUGAGGCACACCUGGACUCCAUUACCUCACUUAUUACCCUAUAUGUGGCACUCCCUUAGGUUCUUUCCCCAGUCAGUAUUGUUUCUGUGUGAAGACACCACUAUGAAUGUGUCUCGUUCCAUGUUUGUUGGUUUAUUAAACAUAUCACCUGCUUCUCAACUCUCAGCAUAUUUGUUACAGAAUACUGACUCAAACAAUGGAAGCAGCAGGAAAACUGAAUAUCUCCCAGACAGUCGACGAGCAGGGAUACCUUCUUCGUCAACACCACGACCAGCUGGCACAACUGGAGACAGCUAUGGAAGAGGUUCUUCGCAGUGUGCAACAUCUUGAGCAUACCCGGGAGGUGUUUCAGUGAACUAGCAGAGGAUACUCUACAACCAGUCAACCCAGCACAACAGCCCAUUCAGCAACAAGCUCAGGCCAGUGGUUCCUGGACUCCUAGCUGAUACUGUCCCCCCCCCCCCCCCCCCCCCGGACAUCAAGGGGGGUCCAGCCUAUGCCGUCAGAUCCCUACUGGACUCCCAAUGUUGUGGGGGUCGUGGAGGACAUUCUGGAUCCCAACAUCAUCCUUGAUUUUCACUUUUGCCGCUGUGGCUAGAGCUGCGCGUCGAGGGUGGUACUGUCACAUCUACUCCCGCUCCCACUCCUCCCCUCCGGCGUUCAACGUCACCGGUAUACUAACCACCGGUCCUGGCAUCCAUCAUUACGCACACCUGCACUUCAUGGGGCACACCUAGACUCCAUUACCCUAUAUGUGCACUCCCUUGGGAAAAAAAACCUAAGUCGGUAUUGUUUCUGUAUCUAUGUUAAGACGCCACUACGAUGUUGUCUCGUUCCAUGUUCGUUGGUUUAUUAAACGUACCACCUGC
Molecule: long non-coding RNA, 1082 nt
Organism: Oncorhynchus kisutch (coho salmon)
Lineage: Eukaryota; Metazoa; Chordata; Actinopteri; Salmoniformes; Salmonidae
Exons: 2
Source: RefSeq, a predicted model, not a curated record